GUGCCCAUGAUGUAACGGCAGCCUAUCGCCUUGCCAUGGCGAAAGUGCGGGUUCAACUCCCGCUGGGCACU
RNAcentral lists this transfer RNA (71 nucleotides) under Planctomycetaceae bacterium. RNAcentral describes it as "tRNA-Gly". It matches the Rfam family "tRNA". Rfam says of the family: Transfer RNA (tRNA) molecules are approximately 80 nucleotides in length. Their secondary structure includes four short double-helical elements and three loops (D, anti-codon, and T loops). The record is from RNAcentral. Lineage: Bacteria; Pseudomonadati; Planctomycetota; Planctomycetia; Planctomycetales; Planctomycetaceae.